UCAUAUAGUCCACAAGAUUCUCUUCUUGCAGCAUAAACUGCCCUUGGUAUCCUUUUUGAUUGCAGAUUCCGGUAAAAUUUCAUUGUUACCGGUUGGUUUGCUUGCACAGCUGCAUGAACUCAAAUUGCUUUGUCCAGUGGUUUCCUGACUCUUGCAGGCUGCAGUCCAUUGUAUCCAGUCAUAAAGAGAGGGAAUGAAAACUACAUCAAAAUGCCAAUAAAGGUAGAAGACCACAGAUUCUGGCUGCACGGCAAGCUGACCUGACCUACUCAGAAAGCUGGAUGGCCUAUUGCAUAAAGCCAUCUUCCUCUGAUGGAGUUCCAGCCCUCCACAGCAGGGACUUGUGGAGCACUCCUGUAAAUGACCCUGAUUAUCACUUUCAUAAAUGAUUCUGCGUUUUCCAACCUAAUGGGUAAUGAUGUGAAAGACACUGAACAAGAUUUUUAAUUAUAGCAAAUGGAAUCCAUGCUCCCUAAUCGGAUUGCUGGAUAGGUGGCUAUUAUUCACUGCUAAAGGUUAAAACAUUAAACUUCUGCUUGUCAUCGGGCAGACUAUUCAUAAAAGCACUGGCUAGUUGUUUGUUGUUUUUAAAUUACCAGCUCUUGUGGAAGCUCGUAGAUCAGUUUUCCAGUCCUGUCUGAAUGUAUCAAGUCAAUAGGUGCAAGAGGAUAGCAGCAUAAGGCACAAAUAUCCAUCAUCUAAUAUGAAUAAAUCUAGGGUCAGU
Long non-coding RNA from Chelonia mydas (Green sea turtle), 724 nucleotides. RefSeq lists it as uncharacterized. NCBI's taxonomy places the organism in Eukaryota, Metazoa, Chordata, Testudines, Cheloniidae. The record is from RefSeq and is a predicted model, not a curated record. The transcript has 3 exons.